RNAcentral lists this ribosomal RNA (700 nucleotides) under uncultured Gigaspora. Its description in RNAcentral is "eukaryotic LSU rRNA". It matches the Rfam family "Eukaryotic large subunit ribosomal RNA", at positions 38 to 648 of the family's 3401-position model. Lineage: Eukaryota; Fungi; Glomeromycota; Glomeromycetes; Diversisporales; Gigasporaceae. The record is from RNAcentral.
GCAUAUCAAUAAGCGGAGGAAAAGAAACUAACAAGGAUUCCCCUAGUAACGGCGAGUGAAGCGGGAAGAGCACAAAUUUAAAAUCUACCUGGUUUUCAGGUCGAGUUGUAAUUUGAAGAUACGUUUUUGACGUUCUGGGUUGGACUAAAUCCUUUGGGAUAAGGUAUCAUAGAGGGUGAGAAUCCCGUAUAUACCAACCGUAGGGAUGUUAUUAAAUACGUUUCUAAGAGUCGAGUUGUUUGGGAAUGCAGCUCUAAAUGGGUGGUAAAUUUCACCUAAUGCUAAAUAUAAGCGAGAGACCGAUAGCGAACAAGUACAGUGAUGGAAAGAUGAAAAGAACUUUGAAAAGAGAGUUAAAUAGUACGUGAAAUUGUUGAAAGGGAAACGAUUGAAGUCAGUCAUGCCGGUGAGAAUCAACUUAGGGGAAACUCUGGGUGCACUUCUUCGCUUGGCAGGUCAACGUCGAUUUUGAAUGUCAUAAAAUAAUUGGGGGAAGGUAGCUCCUUCGGGAGUGUUAUAGCCCUUGAUAGAUGUGAUGUUUGAGGUCGAGGAUUGCAACGGAUACCCUUUGGGGCUAGCUGCCUGAUCUCUAAUUGGUGUUGGGUUACGGAUAGCAUGCUGACCGUGAUCUAAUUACUGGUUAAAAGGUUAGAGCGUGCAUAAAUUCGUUAAGGACGUUGACGUAAUGGCUUUAAACGAC